AUUGAACGCUGGCGGCAUGCCUUACACAUGCAAGUCGAACGGCAGCAUGGAAGAGCUUGCUCUUCUGAUGGCGAGUGGCGAACGGGUGAGUAAAGCAUCGGAACGCACCGUGUAGUGGGGGAUAACGUAGCGAAAGUUACGCUAAUACCGCAUACGCACUGAGGUGGAAAGCAGGGGAUCGCAAGACCUUGCGCUAUACGAGCGGCCGAUGUCAGAUUAGCUAGUUGGUAGGGUAAAGGCCUACCAAGGCGACGAUCUGUAGCGGGUCUGAGAGGAUGAUCCGCCACACUGGGACUGAGACACGGCCCAGACUCCUACGGGAGGCAGCAGUGGGGAAUUUUGGACAAUGGGCGAAAGCCUGAUCCAGCCAUGCCGCGUGAGUGAAGAAGGCCU
RNAcentral lists this ribosomal RNA (393 nucleotides) under uncultured bacterium. Its description in RNAcentral is "bacterial SSU rRNA". It matches the Rfam family "Bacterial small subunit ribosomal RNA", at positions 30 to 417 of the family's 1533-position model. The record is from RNAcentral.